CACCAGCGCCUCGAGUGGGGAUCGCGAUUAUUGGGCCUAAAGCGUCCGUAGCAGGUCAUGUAAAUUCCUUGUGAAAUCGGCAGGCUUAACCUGUCGACGUGCAGAGAACACUGCAAGACUUGAGACUGGGAGAGGUCAAAAGUAUUCCUUGGGUACCGGUAAAAUGGGUUAAUCCAGGGAGGACUACCAAUGGCGAAGGCAUUUGACCAGAACAGUUCUGACUGUGAGGGACGAAAGCUAGGGGAGCAAAACG
This 253-nucleotide ribosomal RNA is filed under the name uncultured archaeon. RNAcentral describes it as "partial 16S ribosomal RNA". It matches the Rfam family "Archaeal small subunit ribosomal RNA", at positions 474 to 726 of the family's 1478-position model. The record is from RNAcentral.